RNAcentral lists this ribosomal RNA (253 nucleotides) under uncultured bacterium. RNAcentral's name for it is "partial 16S ribosomal RNA". It matches the Rfam family "Bacterial small subunit ribosomal RNA", at positions 524 to 776 of the family's 1533-position model. The record is from RNAcentral.
UACGUAGGGGGCAAGCGUUGUCCGGAUUUAUUGGGCGUAAAGAGCGUGUAGGCGGCUUGACAAGUCUGCUGUGAAAACUCGAGGCUCAACUUCGAGCUGUCGGUGGAAACUUUCUGGCUAGAGUCCGGAAGAGGAGAAUGGAAUUCCUGGUGUAGCGGUGAAAUGCGCAGAUAUCAGGAAGAACACCCGUGGCGAAGGCGGUUCUCUGGGACGGUACUGACGCUGAGACGCGAAAGCGUGGGGAGCGAACAGG